This 478-nucleotide ribosomal RNA is filed under the name uncultured bacterium. RNAcentral's name for it is "partial 16S ribosomal RNA". It matches the Rfam family "Bacterial small subunit ribosomal RNA", at positions 28 to 523 of the family's 1533-position model. The record is from RNAcentral.
GAUGAACGCUGGCGGCGUGGAUAAGGCAUGCAAGUCGAACGGUAAGGCCCUUCGGGGUACACGAGUGGCGAACGGGUGAGUAACACGUGGGUGAUCUGCCCUGCACUUCGGGAUAAGCCUGGGAAACUGGGUCUAAUACCGGAUAGGACUCCGGACUGCAUGGUCUGGGGUGGAAAGCUUUUGCGGUGUGGGAUGGACCCGCGGCCUAUCAGCUUGUUGGUGGGGUGAUGGCCUACCAAGGCGACGACGGGUAGCCGGCCUGAGAGGGUGACCGGCCACACUGGGACUGAGAUGCGGCCCAGACUCCUACGGGAGGCAGCAGUGGGGAAUAUUGCACAAUGGGCGCAAGCCUGAUGCAGCGACGCCGCGUGAGGGAUGACGGCCUUCGGGUUGUAAACCUCUUUCAGCAUCGACGAAGCGAAAGUGACGGUAGGUGCAGAAGAAGGACCGGCCAACUACGUGCCAGCCGCCGCCGUAA